RNAcentral lists this long non-coding RNA (426 nucleotides) under Hordeum vulgare. RNAcentral's name for it is "long non-coding RNA (HVUL_LNC019662)". The record is from RNAcentral. Lineage: Eukaryota; Viridiplantae; Streptophyta; Magnoliopsida; Poales; Poaceae.
GCAUGAGAAGAAAGCUUCCGGUGAUAAGACAUGUCAUUUCGUGCAUAGGAUAUGGUUUUUUUUCACUGAAUUUAUGCUAAUGUUUUUUCUUCAAAAUAUAAAUGAUUGGUUUUAAUUUUGUGUAGGAAUAUGAUGUUAUCGAAGAGCUUUAAAGAAAAUUCCCUGGAAUUCCUACAAAAUCCCUCUAAAGUUUGUCUACUUGUGUGAUGAACAAAUACCCCCCAAAGCGAAGCAAGUAGGAGUAUAGUAGCAUCGCCACCGACCGUAGCAAUGGCGACGGCAAGGGGCACCGGGCCGGGGCGGCAGGACGAGGAUAUCCGCCAGUCCAGGCUGCUAACCAGGAGGAUCAACUAUCGCCGCGACAAGCUCCUCCACGACGCCUGGGAGGUCUCCGAGCUCUUCGCCCCCCACCUCGCCAUCCUCNNN